GCCGGGGUAGCCAAGCGGUUGGAACACGGAUUUUCCGCUAGUUUUUAUUGGUUUUUUCUGGUUCUCGUAGACGGCGCCAGCUUGGAGAGCUGGUGACGCUUUGCGUCGCGUGGGUUCAAAUCCCACCCCCGGCG
Molecule: transfer RNA, 134 nt
Filed under: Candidatus Wukongarchaeota archaeon
Lineage: Archaea; Promethearchaeati; Candidatus Wukongarchaeota
Description: tRNA-Ser
Rfam family: tRNA
About the family: Transfer RNA (tRNA) molecules are approximately 80 nucleotides in length. Their secondary structure includes four short double-helical elements and three loops (D, anti-codon, and T loops). Further hydrogen bonds mediate the characteristic L-shaped molecular structure. tRNAs have two regions of fundamental functional importance: the anti-codon, which is responsible for specific mRNA codon recognition, and the 3' end, to which the tRNAs corresponding amino acid is attached (by aminoacyl-tRNA synthetases). tRNAs cope with the degeneracy of the genetic code in two manners: having more than one tRNA (with a specific anti-codon) for a particular amino acid; and 'wobble' base-pairing, i.e. permitting non-standard base-pairing at the 3rd anti-codon position.
Source: RNAcentral